AUUGAACGCUGGCGGCAGGCCUAACACAUGCAAGUCGAACGGUAACAGGAAGCAGCUUGCUGCUUCGCUGACGAGUGGCGGACGGGUGAGUAAUGUCUGGGAAGCUGCCUGAUGGAGGGGGAUAACUACUGGAAACGGUAGCUAAUACCGCAUAAUGUCGCAAGACCAAAGAGGGGGACCUUCGGGCCUCUUGCCAUCGUAUGUGCCCGGAUGGGAUUAGAUUGUUGGUGGGGUAACGGCUCACCAGGGCGACGAGCGCUAGCUGGUGUGAGAGGAUGACCAGCCACACGGGAACUGAGACACGGUCCAGACUCCUGCGGGAGGCAGCAGUGGGGAAUAUUGCACAAUGGGCGGAAGCCUGAUGCAGCCAUGCCGCGUGUAUUAAGAAGGCCUUGGGGUUGUAAAGUACUUUCAGCGGGGAGGAAGGGAGUAAAGUUAAUACCUUGGCUCAUUGACGUUACCCGCAGAAGAAGCACCGGCUAACUCCGUG
RNAcentral lists this ribosomal RNA (490 nucleotides) under uncultured bacterium. RNAcentral describes it as "partial 16S ribosomal RNA". It matches the Rfam family "Bacterial small subunit ribosomal RNA", at positions 30 to 507 of the family's 1533-position model. The record is from RNAcentral.